UGUAAUUCUAAUAAAAAUUCCAACAGGUUUCUUUACAGAAAUGGAAAAACCUAUCCUUAACUUUAUAUGGGAUGUUAAGAAGCACCGAAUAUCUAAAGCAAUGUUGAAAGAGAAGAACAAAGUAGGAGGACUCACACUUCCUGAUUUUAAAACAUAUUAUACAGCUACAGUAAUCAAAACAGCCUGGUACUGGUAUAACAAUAGACACAGACCAAUAGAAUAUAAUUGAGAGUCCAGAAAUAAACCCACACAUCUAUGGUCAAAUUUUUUUUUGACAACACUGCCAAGUCUGUUUGAUGGAGAAAGAAAAGUCUCUUCAAUAAAUGCUGUUGGGAAAUUGGAUUUCCACAUGCAGAAAAAUGAAACAGGAUCCAUGUCCCACCCCAUACACAAAAAUGAAUUCAAAAUGGAUUAAGGACCUAGAUGUGAAAAAUAAAACCAUGAAAUUCUUGGAGGAAAACACAUGGGCGACACUGUCAGACCCACUCGUAACAAUGGAUUAUCUAACAUAAUAAUAAAAGUACAAACAGCAAAAAACUAAAUAAAUAAAUGAAACCUCAUAAAAAUUUGAAAAGUUUUGUUCCUCCAAAGACUUUACCAAAAAGGUGAACAGACAAGCUACGGACUUGGAGGAUAUCUUCGGAAAGCAUGUAUCCAAUAAGAAUUUAAUAACCAAAAAAUAUUUAAAACUUUGACAACAGAAAGACAAAUAACCCAAUCAUAAAGUGGACAAAGGACUUGAAUAGACAUUUCACCAAAGAGUACAUUUAACUGGCCACCAAACCCAUGAAAAUGUGCUUAACAUCAUUAGCCAUCAGAGAGCUGCAAAUCAAAAGUACAAUGAGAUACCAUUUCACUCCCACAAGGAUGGCUAAGAUUAAAAAAAAAAAAAAUACAGCUGCUGGUGAGAAUGUGGGAAAAUUGGAAUCCUUAUCCAUUGCUAGUAGGUAUUCAAAAACAUACAGCCACUGUGGAAAACAGUGUGGUGGUUCCUCAAAAACUAAAAAUAGAACUACCAUAUGACCCAGCAAUUCCUCUCCUGAGUAUAGACUGAGAAGUCCUGAAAGCAGAGACUCCAACAGAUACUUGUGCACCACUGUUUGUUGUACAAUAGCUGAAAGGUGGAGACGACCUAAAUGCCGUCAACGGAUGAAGGGAAAAACAAAAUGUGGUACAUACAUGCGAUGGAGUACUACUCAGUCAUAAAGAAAAAUGAAGUCUUGAUACAUGCUACAACAAGAAUGUAGCCUGAAGACAUUAUGCUGACAGGUGCUGGAAUAGCUUCAAUCAAAAGAUCACACUCGAAGAAUUCUCAGGUUUUGGUUUGUGCCUCUUCUAAAGCAUGGAUCAUGGUUUGCUUGGUCUGAUAGUAACUUGUUCUCAGGAAAGGUUUCAUCUCUUUCCCCGUUUCAGACCCACUAAAGGUGCAUCCAAAGUAAUUUUAAUCUGCAUUUGGAUUAGUGUCUGUUGGUAACGGUGAUUUUAAUUGCUCAGAAAAGACAUCGUGUUUGGUAAAGUAGAGGGUCGGUGAAAACGAAGGAAAUCCUCAAUAAGCUGGAUUGACACAAUAGCCCAACGAUGGACUCAAACGUACUGAUAAUCAUGAAGAUGGCACAGGACUGGGCAACGUUUUGUUCUGUUAUACAUCAGGUUGCCCCAAGUUGGAGCACACUCAGUGGUAGCUAACAACAACAACAGUGGUAAUUACCAUGGGUAAUCGGAAUGUUUAAAAAGCAGUUCGUGCAAACUGCAACCAAGCCCUGCUUACAAACAGAGUAGCUAAUCCGGAUGGAGUCCGCUCCCUCAUUUCUACUGAUGAGAACACUGAUGUUCAGAAGGUUCAAUAGUUCACCUGUAGUCGGACAACCAGAAAGACAGAAUGGGCACCCUGCCACAGAACAAUCCCGGGUUUGCUCCCCUCCACCUUUAUGCUUUUUCCUUCCAGGUUACCCCAACCCCCAAAUCUGGGCAUUACCUUCACUAGGUCUUUCCCCCUUCCCUUCCAUGUCAGAAGCGUCAGCUACACUGUAGUCUCCACAGUGACAACAUACUAGUGUCUUAAUUUCAUAGUGUUUCUGAAACAGAAACACCACAAGAAGGUGGCUUUAAAAGACAAAAUUUUAUUUUCUCACAGUUCUGGAGGCUAAAAGCCCAAAUCAGAGUCUUGGGCAUGUUGAUUCCUUCCUGGUUGGUAGCCCUGGUGCUCCAUGAUUCCUUGGCUUGUAGACAACCUUCACAUGGCAUCUGCAUGUGUGUGUCUGUCUAAUCUGCUCUUUUUGUAACUCAGAAGUGAUUAGGUUUAGGACAUACCCUUCACCAAUAUGGCCUUAUUAACAUAAAAAAGAAAACCCUAUUUCCAAGUGGGAUUAGAUCCUCUGAGACAGGAGUUAGGAUUCUGACACCGAUAUUGGGAGACACAAUUCAAUCCAGCACUCCUGGGAUCCCUCCAGUUCCCCAUUACAUACUUUGGAUCCCUCCAGAUCGGUGCAUCCCUGUCACUAUUAGUCGAAGGCAUCUUCAUAUCUUGAUGGACUCUUGCAAGUGAUUUCUGACUGGGCAUUCUGCUUCCACACUUCAUCCCCUAGAAUCCUGUCUCCCUAGAGCAGCUGGGGUGAUCUUUUUAGACACGAUUUCAAAAGCUCCUUUUCCCACUCACUGUAACAUCCACACCCACAGUCCUGGCUUAUCAGGUCCUUGGCUCAGGGUCCAGCUCUCAGAACUCCCUCCUCCACGCUGCCCUCCCCGUCUUCUCUGCAGACAAUGGGCCUUGACUAUGCUCUGCAAGGACAUCAAGCUGCAUCCACCCUUAGGGUUUCGCACCAGCUCUUAUAUCUUGCUGGAAU
Loxodonta africana (African savanna elephant) is the source of this 2843-nucleotide long non-coding RNA. RefSeq lists it as uncharacterized. The record is from RefSeq and is a predicted model, not a curated record. The transcript has 4 exons. Lineage: Eukaryota; Metazoa; Chordata; Mammalia; Proboscidea; Elephantidae.